CCUACGGGUGGCAGCAGUGAGGAAUAUUGGUCAAUGGACGAGAGUCUGAACCAGCCAAGCAGCGUGAAGGAUGACUGCCCUAUGGGUUGUAAACUUCUUUUAUAUGGGAGUAAAAUGUUCUACGUGCGGGAUUAUGUAUGUAUCAUAUGAAUAAGGAUCGGCUAAAUCUGUGCCAGCAGCCGCGGUAAUACGGAGGAUCCGAGCGUUAUCCGGAUUCAGUGGGUUUAAAGGGAGCGUAGGUGGAUUGUUAAGUCAGUUGUGAAAGUUUGCGGCUCAACCGUAAGAUUGCAGUUGAAACUGGCGGUCGUGAGUACAGUGGAGGUGGGCGGAAUUCGUGGUGUAGCGGUGAAAUGCU
Molecule: ribosomal RNA, 355 nt
Filed under: uncultured bacterium
Lineage: Bacteria
Description: partial 16S ribosomal RNA
Rfam family: Bacterial small subunit ribosomal RNA
Source: RNAcentral